CCUGUACACACCGCCCGUCACACCAUGGGAGCGGGUUCUGCCAGAAGUAGUUAGCCUAACCGCAAGGAGGGCGAUUACCACGGCAGGGUUCGUGACUGGGGUG
This 103-nucleotide ribosomal RNA is filed under the name uncultured bacterium. RNAcentral's name for it is "partial 16S ribosomal RNA". It matches the Rfam family "Bacterial small subunit ribosomal RNA", at positions 1380 to 1482 of the family's 1533-position model. The record is from RNAcentral.